AAAUUGAAGAGUUUGAUCAUGGCUCAGAUUGAACGCUGGCGGCAGGCCUAACACAUGCAAGUCGAGCGGUAGCACAGAGAGCUUGCUCUCGGGUGACGAGCGGCGGACGGGUGAGUAAUGUCUGGGAAACUGCCUGAUGGAGGGGGAUAACUACUGGAAACGGUAGCUAAUACCGCAUAACGUCGCAAGACCAAAGUGGGGGACCUUCGGGCCUCAUGCCAUCAGAUGUGCCCAGAUGGGAUUAGCUAGUAGGUGGGGUAACGGCUCACCUAGGCGACGAUCCCUAGCUGGUCUGAGAGGAUGACCAGCCACACUGGAACUGAGACACGGUCCAGACUCCUACGGGAGGCAGCAGUGGGGAAUAUUGCACAAUGGGCGCAAGCCUGAUGCAGCCAUGCCGCGUGUGUGAAGAAGGCCUUCGGGUUGUAAAGCACUUUCAGCGGGGAGGAAGGCGGUGAGGUUAAUAACCUUGGCGAUUGACGUUACCCGCAGAAGAAGCACCGGCUAACUCCGUGCCAGCAGCCGCGG
This 528-nucleotide ribosomal RNA is filed under the name Klebsiella pneumoniae. Its description in RNAcentral is "bacterial SSU rRNA". It matches the Rfam family "Bacterial small subunit ribosomal RNA", at positions 1 to 520 of the family's 1533-position model. The record is from RNAcentral. Lineage: Bacteria; Pseudomonadati; Pseudomonadota; Gammaproteobacteria; Enterobacterales; Enterobacteriaceae.